AUACAGAGGGUGCAAGCGUUAAUCGGAUUUACUGGGCGUAAAGCGCGCGUAGGUGGCUAAUUAAGUCAAAUGUGAAAUCCCCGAGCUUAACUUGGGAAUUGCAUUCGAUACUGGUUAGCUAGAGUAUGGGAGAGGAUGGUAGAAUUCCAGGUGUAGCGGUGAAAUGCGUAGAGAUCUGGAGGAAUACCGAUGGCGAAGGCGUCCAUCUGGCCGAAUACUGACAUUGAGGGGUGAAAGAAUGGGGAGCAAACAGGAUUAGAUACCCUGGGAGUCCAUGCCGGAAACGAUGUCGACUAGCCGUUGGGGCCCUUGAGGCUUUAGUGGCGCAGCUAACGCGAUAAGUAGACCGCCUGGGGAGUACGGUCGCAAGACUAAAACUCAAAUGAAUUGGCGGGG
Molecule: ribosomal RNA, 396 nt
Filed under: uncultured bacterium
Lineage: Bacteria
Description: partial 16S ribosomal RNA
Rfam family: Bacterial small subunit ribosomal RNA
Source: RNAcentral